Pelobates cultripes (western spadefoot toad) is the source of this 255-nucleotide non-coding RNA. The record is from the annotation of a GenBank genome assembly. NCBI's taxonomy places the organism in Eukaryota, Metazoa, Chordata, Amphibia, Anura, Pelobatidae.
GAGGGAGUAAUGGUAAUAGAGGGAGUAAUGGGAACAGAGGAAGUGUAAGGGAAGAUAGGUACUAUCCAGCAGCGCAAAGGUCCCGCGAUAGAGAAGGUAGGGACUUUGUGGGAUUGGCUGACACGGUCAUGGAGGACUAUUGAUACCGACCGGGCUCCAUCCCCCUUGGUCGAGCGGAGCCUAUGGUCGAUGUAUCAAUAGGGGGAAAAAGGAGUGCGUUUAUGAUCGACACUGGUGCUGAACAUUCGGUGGUGA